RNAcentral lists this ribosomal RNA (542 nucleotides) under uncultured bacterium. RNAcentral's name for it is "bacterial SSU rRNA". It matches the Rfam family "Bacterial small subunit ribosomal RNA", at positions 355 to 912 of the family's 1533-position model. The record is from RNAcentral.
UGGGGAAUCUUGGACAAUGGGGGCAACCCUGAUCCAGCCAUGCCGCGUGAGUGAUGAAGGCCUUAGGGUCGUAAAGCUCUUUCGCCUGUGAAGAUAAUGACGGUAGCAGGUAAAGAAACCCCGGCUAACUCCGUGCCAGCAGCCGCGGUAAUACGGAGGGGGUUAGCGUUGUUCGGAAUUACUGGGCGUAAAGCGCACGUAGGCGGACCAGAAAGUUGGGGGUGAAAUCCCGGGGGCUCAACCCCGGAACUGCCUCCAAAACUAUUGGUCUAGAGUUCGAGAGAGGUGAGUGGAAUUCCAAGUGUAGAGGUGAAAUUCGUAGAUAUUUGGAGGAACACCAGUGGCGAAGGCGGCUCACUGGCUCGAUACUGACGCUGAGGUGCGAAAGUGCUGGGGAGCAAACAGGAUUAGAUACCCUGGUAGUCCACACCGUAAAACGAUGAAUGCCAGUCGUCGGGUAGCAUGCUAUUCGGUGACACACCUAACGGAUUAAGCAUUCCGCCUGGGGAGUACGGUCGCAAGAUUAAAACUCAAAGGAAUUG